GGCAAUUGGCGGGCGGGCUACACAUGCAAGUCGAGCGGAUGAGUGGAGCUUGCUCCAUGAUUCAGCGGCGGACGGGUGAGUAAUGCCUAGGAAUCUGCCUGGUAGUGGGGGACAACGUUUCGAAAGGAACGCUAAUACCGCAUACGUCCUACGGGAGAAAGUGGGGGAUCUUCGGACCUCACGCUAUCAGAUGAGCCUAGGUCGGAUUAGCUAGUUGGUGAGGUAAAGGCUCACCAAGGCGACGAUCCGUAACUGGUCUGAGAGGAUGAUCAGUCACACUGGAACUGAGACACGGUCCAGACUCCUACGGGAGGGCAGCAGUAUA
RNAcentral lists this ribosomal RNA (325 nucleotides) under Stutzerimonas stutzeri. Its description in RNAcentral is "bacterial SSU rRNA". It matches the Rfam family "Bacterial small subunit ribosomal RNA", at positions 37 to 358 of the family's 1533-position model. Lineage: Bacteria; Pseudomonadati; Pseudomonadota; Gammaproteobacteria; Pseudomonadales; Pseudomonadaceae. The record is from RNAcentral.